Molecule: ribosomal RNA, 31 nt
Filed under: Veronica crista-galli
Lineage: Eukaryota; Viridiplantae; Streptophyta; Magnoliopsida; Lamiales; Plantaginaceae
Also listed under: 4 other names
Description: partial 26S ribosomal RNA
Source: RNAcentral
GACCGCGACCCCAGGUCAGGCGGGACUACCC